Molecule: ribosomal RNA, 377 nt
Filed under: uncultured bacterium
Lineage: Bacteria
Description: bacterial SSU rRNA
Rfam family: Bacterial small subunit ribosomal RNA
Source: RNAcentral
UAUUGGACAAUGGGCGAAAGCCUGAUCCAGCAAUGCCGCGUGAGUGAUGAAGGCCUUAGGGUUGUAAAGCUCUUUUACCCGGGAUGAUAAUGACAGUACCGGGAGAAUAAGCUCCGGCUAACUCCGUGCCAGCAGCCGCGGUAAUACGGAGGGAGCUAGCGUUGUUCGGAAUUACUGGGCGUAAAGCGCACGUAGGCGGCUUUGUAAGUUAGAGGUGAAAGCCUGGAGCUCAACUCCAGAACUGCCUUUAAGACUGCAUCGCUUGAAUCCAGGAGAGGUGAGUGGAAUUCCGAGUGUAGAGGUGAAAUUCGUAGAUAUUCGGAAGAACACCAGUGGCGAAGGCGGCUCACUGGACUGGUAUGACGCUGAGGUGCGAA